GACGAACGCUGGCGGCGUGCUUAACACAUGCAAGUCGAACGGAAAGGCCCUGCUUUUGUGGGGUGCUCGAGUGGCGAACGGGUGAGUAACACGUGAGUAACCUGCCCUUGACUUUGGGAUAACUUCAGGAAACUGGGGCUAAUACCGGAUAGGAGCUCCUGCGGCAUGGUGGGGGUUGGAAAGUUUCGGCGGUUGGGGAUGUACUCGCGGCUUAUCAGCUUGUUGGUGGGGUAGUGGCUUACCAAGGCUUUGACGGGUAGACGGCCUGAGAGGGUGACCGGAAUCAUUGGGACUGAGAUACGAGCCGGAAUCCUACGGGCGGCAACAGUGGGGAAUAUUGCACAAUGGGCGGGAGCAUGAUGCAGGAACGCCGCGUGCAGGAUAAAGGCCUUCGGGUUGUAAACCGAUUUCACCUGUGACGAAGCGUGAGUGGCGGUAAUGGGUAGAGAAGCACCGGCUAACUACGUG
This 468-nucleotide ribosomal RNA is filed under the name uncultured bacterium. RNAcentral describes it as "partial 16S ribosomal RNA". It matches the Rfam family "Bacterial small subunit ribosomal RNA", at positions 28 to 507 of the family's 1533-position model. The record is from RNAcentral.